GAUGAACGCUGGCGGCGUGCCUAAUACAUGCAAGUCGAGCGAACGGACGAGAAGCUUGCUUCUCUGAUGUUAGCGGCGGACGGGUGAGUAACACGUGGAUAACCUACCUAUAAGACUGGGAUAACUUCGGGAAACCGGAGCUAAUACCGGAUAAUAUUUUGAACCGCAUGAUUCAAAAGUGAAAGACGGUCUUGCUGUCACUUAUAGAUGGAUCCGCGCUGCAUUAGCUAGUUGGUAAGGUAACGGCUUACCAAGGCAACGAUGCAUAGCCGACCUGAGAGGGUGAUCGGCCACACUGGAACUGAGACACGGUCCAGACUCCUACGGGAGGCAGCAGUAGGGAAUCUUCCGCAAUGGGCGAAAGCCUGACGGAGCAACGCCGCGUGAGUGAUGAAGGUCUUCGGAUCGUAAAACUCUGUUAUUAGGGAAGAACAUAUGUGUAAGUAACUGUGCACAUCUUGACGGUACCUAAUCAGAAAGCCACGGCUAACUACGUG
Molecule: ribosomal RNA, 497 nt
Filed under: uncultured bacterium
Lineage: Bacteria
Description: partial 16S ribosomal RNA
Rfam family: Bacterial small subunit ribosomal RNA
Source: RNAcentral